UAUAUAUAUAUAUAUAUAUAUAUAUAUAUAUAUAUAUAUCAAACUUGCUCCACUUUGAAUUGGCCCCUGUGAACUUGCGCCUCCGGUGUCUUAUGAGUGCAUGACUUAGUUUAAAAAACUAAGUGAAGGAACUUGCGCUUGGUAAUGCACUGCCACUCUUCUCUCUCCUCAAGCUUGCGCCACUAACUGAAGUUGCGCCAGGAUGGAGUUGGCGCCUGUGUACACUCACUUGUGUUAUAGUGUAAGUUGCCUUGGUUUAAAUCUGAACCUAUAUAUACAAACUUGCCCUUGCAUUACUUCACGUAUACCACACAGGUGCAGCUUGCGCCAAGUAUUGCCACAUCCACACAGUGUAUGCAGUUGUCACUCUUCGUUAAGGGGAGUUGCGCCUUGCACAGUGUAUCCAUUGUUCUCACUCAUGGUUAAGACCUAACCAACUUGCCCCACAAUAUACACAUAACACAACAGCAAGUGGCGCUCCAGUAUUUCCUUCUCUGUGCAGCUUUGUAAGCUUCUUGCCUUAGUUUGAUACAAGAAUGCUACAACUUGCGCCUAUGUUCAAUGAUCAGCCAAGAGCUUUAGUGUGUACAUCUACCUUGGUCGAUUUCACAACACAGCAACGAACAGGCAUGCAUGGCUAGAGUAUUUAACCUAGACACGUGACAUCAUCACAUGCAUGCAAACCCUAGAUUUAGUAGACACGUGACAUCAUCUCCAUGCAUGCAUAAUAUAUAUUAUAUUAUAUUAUAUUAUAUUAUAUUAUAUUGUGUUUAUAUUAAU
Molecule: long non-coding RNA, 780 nt
Filed under: Daucus carota (carrot)
Lineage: Eukaryota; Viridiplantae; Streptophyta; Magnoliopsida; Apiales; Apiaceae
Description: long non-coding RNA (DCAR_LNC006945)
Source: RNAcentral